This 253-nucleotide ribosomal RNA is filed under the name uncultured bacterium. Its description in RNAcentral is "partial 16S ribosomal RNA". It matches the Rfam family "Bacterial small subunit ribosomal RNA", at positions 524 to 776 of the family's 1533-position model. The record is from RNAcentral.
UACAGGGGGUGCAAACGUUGCUCGGAAUCAUUGGGCGUAAAGCGCACGUAGGCGGUCUGUUAUGUCGGAUGUGAAAGCCCUCGGCUCAACUGAGGAAGUGCAUCCGAAACUGGCAGGCUAGAGUACUAAAGAGGGUCGCGGAAUUCCCGGUGUAGAGGUGAAAUUCGUAGAUAUCGGGAGGAACACCGGUGGCGAAGGCGGCGACCUGGGUAGAUACUGACGCUGAGGUGCGAAAGCGUGGGGAGCGAACAGC